Molecule: ribosomal RNA, 702 nt
Filed under: Glomeromycotina sp. OTU25 DJMC-2012
Lineage: Eukaryota; Fungi; Glomeromycota
Description: eukaryotic LSU rRNA
Rfam family: Eukaryotic large subunit ribosomal RNA
Source: RNAcentral
CGGAGGAAAAGAAACUAACAAGGAUUCCCCUAGUAACGGCGAGUGAAGCGGGAACAGCUCAAAUUUUAANUCUGGCUGCUUCGCAGUCCGAGUUGUAAUUUGAAGGCGUCUGUCGCAUGUGAGACGAUGGCACAAGUCCUCUGGAACGUGGCAUCGUAGAGGGUGAGAAUCCCGUCUCUGGUCGUUGUCUUGCAGGCACACGGCAGGCGAUCCGAAGAGUCGAGUUGUUUGGGAUUGCAGCUCCAAAUGGGUGGUAAACUCCAUCUAAGGCUAAAUAUUGGCGAGAGACCGAUAGCGAACAAGUACCGUGAGGGAAAGAUGAAAAGAACUUUGAAAAGAGAGUAAAACAGUACGUGAAAUUGUUGAAAGGGAAACGCUUGAAGUCAGUCGUGCCGGCGGGGAUUCAGCGAACUUCGCGGAGUGAGCGUAUUUCCUCGCAUGGCAGGUCAGCGUCAGUUUUGCGCGUCGUGAAAGGGCUCGGGUAAGGUGACUCUCUUCGGGGAGUGUUAUAGGCCUGAGCAGAUGCGAUGCGCGGGACUGAGGAUUGCAGCGGACACCCUUCGGGGCGCGGCGACCGAUCCCUGCUCUGUCACCUUCGUCCGAUAGCGUGCUAACGGUCGGGGGAGCGGCGGUUGCACCGGGUUGGCAAGCCGGCGGCUUCGCUAAGGAUGCUGGCGUAAUGGCUUUAAACGACCCGUCUUG